UUCAAUGUGGGAUUGUUAUGUGGUGUGAGUUUGGUCGGAUCCAUCUUUUUAUGAACCCACCAUCGGUGUGCUCUCCGCUAAUAGCUGAAGGGUCUCUAUUCAUCUUAGACAUGACCGUACUUGAACAGGAUCUGUUCUAUAGGUCAUACACCUGUCUGUGUUCUUUAACUCAGACAAGCUUCUCAACCCAGACGAAGAGACAGAGUCCCUGCACCUGAGCGCAACGUAAGGCCGCAGUGGCCGUGCCGCUGGCACGGACGCGCGGCUCUGGAUGAACGUCCCUCCGAGCCUCAUUCCGCCGGCAGGGAUGGUGCCUGGGACAUUCAGAUGGGUUACGACCUUUUUUAUGAAAUAAAAGUUUUGGCGUUCGACGUUUUCUCUUGUCUUUUUCGCUCUUCAUUUUAUUCCUGCUCGCUGCAAAAACUUAAUUGUUUCGUAUACGUGCGGCACGUAAAGGAGCGCCUGAUAAUCGUUUGCCCUCGUACAAAGCAAUGUAACUCUAGGCGUUUUUAUAACCAAGCCGCACCUAAGGCUUGCCCUCCUCCUUCCGCCCCACAUCCUACAUCUCCCUAUCUCUUGGCUAAUCCCCGUCUCCCGGUAUCUGCUCCCUCUGGCUUCCUUAACCCCAGCCAGCUUCAAGAACUGUAGCCCUGCAGCCCUCCAAGCCAAGCAUUCAUGAGUCAGCUGCCCCAAAUGCGAUCCUGACCUCCGAACUACACUGUAUAUCUGCUCCUUGUCCAGGUCUUGUCGCUUGAUCUCCCCCCCUUCCCUCUCCUAAACAUCCUCCUCGAUCCCAUCGCACUCGCCCCCAUCCGGACACCACCGCCCCACCUCGUCUGUGGUUCGUCUUCCCGCUCAAGGCCGUACCCCAAUCUGAAAAUGGAGUGUCGAGCAUUGAUCACCAUAAAUGAAUGAAUGAUGCGUAUCGAGUUUGCUCUCCAGCCUCUCCAACCCUCCACCCAUACUCGCGGCAGGUGCUUGCAUUACGCGCUUUGGGCCGCCUGAUGGUUCUGUCCGAUCGGUUGUCAGUUGAGUACGGCGAUGUACUGCGGGACUUGCUGGCCCGGUGGAAGUACAGACCCGCGGCUCUGGUCUGCGAGGCGCUGGCCAUCACACAUGACCUUGUGCGCCGUAACCCCAGCCACCAUCGCCAACUGCUGGGACUCACGGAGGAUCUAAUUCAAGCCGCGCUACAGAACUGGGCUAGCCUUAAGUGUGGGCAUGGAUUGGGGUCGGAGCCGCUAGCGGUCGGAGGUGGGUGUGGUGUUGCGGAGCCGCGGGCUGGCGGUGUUGGCGCCACAGGCCGAGCCUCGGGCCCCCGGGAGCAGCUGCAGCCACAUGAUAAAGUCCGUCCGGCAGGCAACGGCGUGCACGAGCGCGACGAGGAUCCUGAGGCGGGUGGAGCACAAGAGGAUGCCAAUGGCGGAACGGGGGACGACGGGAACGGGGCGCGGAAGGCCCAGGUGGUGAAGCCCCGGGAGGUCCAGCCCCCUCCACCACACCGUCCCCAUUGCUGCGGUCGCGAGGCUGUCCUGGCGGCGCUGCUGCCGACGGCGGUGGGCUGCUACUGCCGCUUGCUGGCCACGGGACGGCUGCAGUGGUCUCCGGCGACGUACCGUACACUGGCGAUGUGCUUCACCCUGGCUAGGGGCAAUCUGCGGGGGCAGGUUCGUGGGGUUCGAGUGGCCGCCGGACGGUUGGUACAGCUUAGGGCAUUCAAGUUACAAGUUCCACACAAGUGCGGGAGGGCGUCCGUAAAAGUGGGGGGGGGAAGGGGGGGGGCAUGGACGAUGACCUAUCAUUCGGGAGGCUAUGUAGAGGUGUUCGCGAUUUGCAGAAGCCCCGCCCCGGCAGCUAGGUACGGAGACAGACUGUCUGGGACUUAGGGUCCUGGGUAGGGGCUACGAUGUAGGUUACUGUUUGCGGAACCUACAUCCGCAAGCAGUGCAGUGCAGCUCUCUAGAACGGCACGGCUGGCCGUGUGGCCUGAAGACCGCUGACGGGGACUCCUGUCGAACCGACAGGUCAAUGCGAUCUCCAAUUAGAAAGCAAAGCUUCCUCCACGACAGCGCAGAGCGCGCCUGAGCGCCGCACCUGACGCCUCCUUUAUUGCCCUUGCAUUGCAAAACAUGGUGCAGGGAAGGAUCCUGCAGCAAUUUGGUAUGAAAUGGAUGAACUUUGGUCCCCAAGCACACGUACACAUGUCAUGCUGGCUACCCCCUAGCCUCAGCGCUAUCGUCGCAACACAGUGUUAUGCGCUUUUGCACUGCGGUCCAACCAAACAGCCUGCUGUUCCCGCGGCCUAUUCAGGUAGCCAUGCAGGCUGCGGCUCUGCUGCUGCGAAACGCAUCCACUUCCUCCGCCUCUGGGCCCGGCAGCCACGGCGGCGGUGGGCCCCAGGCUGGCACGCACCGCCGCAUUGCCGUAGCGCUGGCCUUGUUGCGCAAUUGCCCCGGCCCGCUGCGGGCACGGCUGGUUUCGGAGGCGCUUCUUCCUGUGUCCGGACUCACCACUGCACCCGCCGCCGCAAGCACUGGCAGCCACGACUUCAGACCUACCAGCUGUGGCGAGCCGCUGCCGCCCCCGUUGCUGCACGCCGAGGACUUUCUAAGCGACGACCUAGCUCUCCCGGUCGUGCAAGCGAUUUGCAGCGGCAGCGAUGGUGGCGGAGAGGACGCCGGCGGCGGCGCCGUCGCGGGCAACGAGGGCGCAGCGGCACCCUGCGGUGCCGCCGGCGGUGACAGCUCUGGCGGCGUUGGGCCGGGGGACCCAAGCUGCCCUUCCAUGGCUGCGUUGCUCCUGCUCCUGCGGGAAAUAACCCCAUCCGCGAGAACCCUUGCCGUCAUGCUGCCGCAGAUGCAGGUAGGUAGUGUACCAAUAUGCGGGUUAAUGACGUACACCUUUCUUAAGAGGAGGUUGUACACAGCCACAUGGGUGGUGAGGGAAAUGGCUCAAGGCCAAUAGGCCGUUUUUCUUAGGCAUUUCCUGUCGGUUGGAGAUUGAGCAAUCCAGGAGGAGUGCAUUGUUUGCCAGGACUCCGUGCUCCGUAGCAUAGUGCUCCGUAGGCGUGCUUGCUAAAGGUUUUAGCAAUUACUUCAGGAACAGAGACCCGUUCCUUUUUCGCGAUCGCGCAUCUUUUUCUCUCGUCCUUCCAACUUAAAGGCGUCUCGUCUCACAUGGCCAUGCACCCGCUGGGCGUCCUAAGUUGGGUUGGGGUGGGGGGGUUGAGGUGAGGUAACCGCACCUGGGGGGUGCGAUGGGCAUUGUGGCCUGUACUCCUUCUUGCCGAGGUGAAAGGGCCCAAUGAUGUUGCGAUCCGAACGGCGACUGCAGGCUGUCUUGCGUGACCCAUGGGUCCUGGAGAGCUUCACACCGGGCGCUGUACAGGUGCUCCGUGACAUGGUGCUGCGCUACAAGGCGACUUCGGGAGCGGGCACCGCAGCGGCAGCUGACGGAGGUGACGGGAUGUUGCAGGCAGCGGGCGGCGGCAGCGGCAGUGGCGGCGGCACAGAGCUGAAUGUCGUCUCCGGGUGCAACGGACAGCAUGGUGCUGUACCUGCACCCGCAGCGGAGGGAGGUGCGGCUGUUGUGGUGGCAGCGGCGGCGGCGCGAGGGGGAGGCGACGGAGUCACCGCGCAGCGGAGGCUAGUGGAACUGCUCACACAGAUUGAGGGCCGGGUUGGACUGGCCGGCUGCUCCAAACGGCAGGUAGGGGCAGAUGACUCAAGCCCCCGCUCAUUGCUCACACCCACCGCUGCCGCCUGGCCUGGUGCAGUUCUUGCGUCUCUUUGAUUGUUCCGGGUUGGAAGUCCCGAGCACCUUCCGUGAAGGCCUUCCGGUUCAGGGGGCCUGCGGCGCGUCCUCGAUAUUCUGCGCCAACGUUGAGCGAGCUCUACCAUACACAAGCCCCUUGCACUCCAUCCUCCUCUAUGCAUAUGCCCCCUGCCCAGCACCUUGCUCGUGUCGUGGCCCUCCCUGGAUACCUCUGCCCAAUCCGCGGGGCAUGGACACGAUGGACACAAUGCCCGCCGCGAAACUCCCCAUAAACCUUACGCGCUGUAGUGGAUAUGUUGGCGGUGCGUUCCGUCUCAAUAAAGCUACAAGGCGUGUUCAGGGCUUUGUGACUACCACUGUGAUGGAGAUGAUUGACCAAUUGGCCUCCCGGCUGUUUGGUUGGGCUUGUUGCAGAGGACCAAGCGAGCUGCUGUCGCUGUGGGCCCCGAAACCGAAAUCUUGUUCGGGCUGAGCGACGACAGCGUGCGCCGGUACGAGCGCGCAGUGCUGGCCUUCACCAAUAGCCACCCGCCAGGGGCGAGGCGCAUCCACCACAGAGGAGGUACGGAAGGCCAGGAGGGAUGCGCGGCGCCAGCAGCGGUGACUGUGGCCGCAGCUCCAAAGCCAGCCACAGUCGUUCGGAAGCCAAGCGUCCGGCUUGUACCCCCUUCCACAGCACAGGCCAGUGCGAUAAAGGCUGAGCCCCACAGGCGCUCUGCUCGCAGUAGCAAUGCGGGAUCAAACGCUAAACCUGUUGCUGCCACUGCUACAGGUACUAAGCGACGGAAGGCAGGAUAAUGGGUCGACUAAGUCGACUAUAGUUCAGAGACUGCUGGCAGUGCGGUAGACCUCAGUAUAAGGAUGCGAGUUCGGAGUGAUGUCACGAUUCGGACAUGGAUGGACGGGGCGGUCAUACAUGCAUGCGUCGGUCAAUCAUACAUGCAUUUGCAUUGAGCGAGGGGCCGCUGAUUAAUUAGGCCAGAUUGGGGAUUUUUUCGCAUGGAGGUUGGAUGAGGCUUUGAAGACGGUGCAACCACCUAAAGGAGUGUUGCAGACAUAAUGACACAGCGCAAACUAACGUAACGAUGUGGGGAUGAGAAUGUUGGUGGGAGUAGUCUGCGUGUGAUAAAACAUAUUUGCUUGUAAGGAGAGGGCGGAAAAAUAAAGUAUGAUGUACGGCGCUGGAGGUGCUACCGCCGCCAUGUAAUGGUGGCAAGUCUGCCUCCUUCCCGAAUAGCACUAACAGGGCUGGGUAAUCGGCCUUUUCUUUACAUUUCGUAGUUCAGCAGAAAGUUCAAUGUGGGAUUGUUAGAUGGUGUGAAGUUUGGUCGGAUUUAUCGUUCAAUGGACCCACCAUCGGUUUGCCCUCCGGUAACAGGUCAAGGGUCUCUGUCCAUCAUGGACAUGACCGUACUUGAACAGGAUCUGUUCUAUAGGUCAUACACCUGUCUGUGUUCUUUAACUCAGACAAGCUCCUCAACCCAGACGAAGAGACAGAGUCCCUACACCUGAGCGCAACGUAAGGUCGCAGUGGCCGUGCCGCUGGCACGGACGCGCGGCUCUGGAUGAACGUCCCUCCGAGCCACAUUCCGCCGGCAGGGAUGGUGCCUGGGACAUUCAGAUGGGUUAAAUCUGACUUUUUUCACGUUCUUUUCUCAAUGUUCACAGUAGCUUUAUAUCCUACAAGGAAGGUGUGUCAUUCUCACUGAUCAUAUCCUAGGACGUGUCUCUCGCUCAUACGCUCACACAAAGAAGUGUCCGGUAGUCUGCGGCUAUCUCGGAGUCACGCUCCGAGGUUCCCAUCAACAACCCGUCGUCAUUACAAUAACCAUCCUAUCUUCCUGCCAGGACACAAUUAACAACAUCAACAUGUACCACUUGCCAGAACUCAAUUCAUCCGCGGCUUCCCUUGGCAUAUCCCGUGUCGUACACAACAGAUCUUCCAAUACCCCACAGUCUUCAUCAUUAGCAAUCCAGUCAGUCAGUUCCUGUUUGCCGUGGUCACAACUUGGAACCUUUUGGUUCGUUGAGACGAGCCGCUAAUUGCUUUUUCAAGCAGCGGAUGUGUGUGUGUGUGUUACAUGGUUGGGGGGUGCGUGACCCCAUACCUGUAAAUCUACCCAUACGAGCCGAAGGCCCAAGGGCAAUACUACAACGCCUAAAAGCCACGGAGAAAAGGAAACACCGCACAUCAGCCCAGACUAGCGUCCAAAAGUGGUAAUUGAGUUUCGGUGAGCCCACAUACGUUCUGGUCUGGGUUGACACUACUGCAAUUAGCGGUUUAAGGUCCUGGGUUCGAUUCCUGGGGAGACCCCCGAAUUAGUCGGGAGCGCGAGAUUAUGGCUAGCUGCUGAGAUGUGGAGUUGAGGUCACAGUUGAUGGACCAGAUUCGCACGCUAGAUUGGUGGCGAUUGCCGAACCCUCCGUCUCUUCGGGUGUUCGGGUGAAUGGAUGAGGAGGGGUCCCUGAAGGCUGGAUCCGCCGCCUUGGACUAACAGUUCGUAUGGCGAAGUACAGUGUGGUAGUGGUGGAUGGUGCUAUAAGGUGAUAAAUGAUCUAGAACUGACAAUGUGAUAAAGCGGCCCAGAAGCCUCCCACUCUGUAACAUUACAUUACAUUACAUACGUUCCAACAUCCUCGCAAGACGUGCGGGUUCCCAUUUCAUGGCCUCCAACAAGCUCUGUUGAUGAUCGAAUCCUACUUCAGCACGAAUAUCAUUAUAGGCUGGGCAUUCCAAUAACACGUGUUUUUCAUCCUCGAUUCGGCUAUUAGUACCACAACAGCGGCAAAACCGCUGCCCCCUGGGGACAUGGUACUUGCCCCUUCGUGCUCUGUUUGCCUCCAAAGCCCAGCAACAUAAACGAAACUGCAUUAGCUUACGAUGUGCUAAACGAGAAAUGAAAACCUUAGCAUGUGUUGGCCACAUGACGGCUGCGGCUCCCGAAAAGGGCAGCCCCAUCCAGUGCUUAUACUUCGCCAUUUGCACUCCCGGUUGCUUCCCAUCUGAUGGGUACUCCUCUGGCAAGACAGUCAGACGCGUAUGGUCCCAGCCGCUCAUCAAACGCUCUCUUAGUGCCGUUAUUAUCGCUCCUUCUGGUAGAGGUCUACUCAACAACCAGUCAACACGCUCCUUUACCCCCACGACUUCUUGCGGUAUUCCGCUCCAAAUAUUACACUUUCCAAGAAGGAAAACAGUCGUAACAUUGAGAUUCCCCAACCCUCCCAUUCCAGGUUGGUCAGGACAUCGGUUAUCUCCUGCCGUAAAACUGCAUGAGCAAUGGACCCCACUUGUUUUUGAAGGCGGUUCCCGAAACGGAGGAUCUGUUUCACCAUGUAAUACUGUAAGGGGAGUUCAGCCAGCUCCGCAUACAACAGUCUGUGGGAUGGCGGUGCCGCCCCCGCUACCUGCCUCAUGAAUAAAAUCUGCAGCUGGACUGCACUACCCUUCAACAGGCUUCGAACAUGCCCUCCGCAAGGUUGGCUUUAUCCCGCCGCCUUCCCGCCCUGUCCACGACCUCUGCCAGCGGAUGUAACACACACAAUAAAGUAACCAUGAACAUGCCUCGGAGGGUUAAUUUGCCCCUGCCCAUGCACCCGAAUUUCCAUACCACGUGCCUCCGCCUUUUGCUCUUGCAUCAUUUCGGAGACUGGGAGCCUGAGAACCUGUGUGCCUGGGAGACUUGGAUACUGGCAGCAUGGCAGUGGAGGCAUGGAAGCCUGGGAGCCUGGGAUUCCAAUAGCCUAUGUGCCUGGGAGCCUGGGAACCCAGUCUUUAACGCAACUUAUGGCUUGGUUGGCCUGUCCGCCAUUCGCUGUGUUGCACAGACAGGCUGGCAGGCGGAAUGCAGUACAAGGGCGUAACCUGGUGGGGUGUGUGGUGCCGUGUUGGGUCGAGGGGACGUGUGCAUGCUGUGAACCAACUAAAAGAACGUUGCAGACAUAAUGACACAGCGCAAACUAACGUAACGAUGUGGGGAUGAGAAUGUUGGUGGGAGGAGUCCGCGUGUGUUAAAGCACGUAUGCUUGUAAGGAGGGGGCGGAAAAUAGAAUACGAUGUACGGUGCUGCUGCUAUUUCCUUGCAAUGGUGACAAGUCUGCCACCUUCCCUAAUAGUACUAACUGGGCUGGGUAAUCGGCCUUUUCUUUACAUUUCGUAGUUAGCCAGAAAGUUCAAUGUGGGAUUGUUAUGUGGUGUGAAGUUUGGUCGGAUCUAUCGUUCAAUGGACCCACCAUCGGUUUCCUCUCCGCUAAUAGGUCAAGGGUCUCUGUCCCUUUUAGACAUGACCGUACUUGAACAGGAUCUGUUCUAUAGGUCAUACACCUGUCUGUGUUCUUUAACUCAGACAAGCUCCUCAACCCAGACGAAGAGACGGAGUCCCUGCACCUGAGCGCAACGUAAGGCCGCAGUGGCCGUGCCGCUGGCACGGACGCGCGGCUCUGGAUGAACGUCCCUCCGAG
RNAcentral lists this long non-coding RNA (8232 nucleotides) under Volvox carteri. RNAcentral describes it as "long non-coding RNA (VCAR_LNC003279)". The stretch from base 111 to 334 matches the Rfam family "Plant small nucleolar RNA U3". Lineage: Eukaryota; Viridiplantae; Chlorophyta; Chlorophyceae; Chlamydomonadales; Volvocaceae. The record is from RNAcentral.